This 3459-nucleotide long non-coding RNA is filed under the name Theobroma cacao (cacao). RNAcentral's name for it is "long non-coding RNA (TCAC_LNC001947)". The record is from RNAcentral. Lineage: Eukaryota; Viridiplantae; Streptophyta; Magnoliopsida; Malvales; Malvaceae.
AUUGAGUUUAAUCAUAAUCUUAGAUAAACAAUUUACUUUUCCAUCAAGUCAAACAUCAUCAUCAAAUUAAACUUAAACAAUAACAUCAAACUAAGAAAAAUAAAAGAAUAACAAAAAGAUAAAACUCAAGAAUUAUAAUCUUGAUCUUCCAAAUCUUCUUCUUGAAUCUUUCAAAUUCUUCUUAGCUUUAAUGACUUUGUGACUUGAUUCUCAAUUAUCAAUCUGGUGUUUCGUUCUCCCCCCUUUAAAAGUCCUCCGAAAGGUUUUUUUUUUAAGUUUUGAAACUAGGCUAAGUUGGGUGAAGAAAGAAAUCAAUUCAAAUUAGGAUUUCCUCAUUAGACUACGUGAGUGGUGACCUCAACCCAUUAAUUAGCAGAAAUCGAAAUUGCUCUAGGACUAUUGCAGUACUUCAAAUUUGACAUAAAUUUUGACCAUCUUUCAGGUAGAACUAGGCAAAGUAGUAAACAUAAAAGUCAUAUAUUUUCCUCCAAUCUUUCCAAUGGUUCAAGAAUCGUCUCAUUUGGAUCUUUGUAGAGAGAGUUAUGGUUGAAAUACCGAAACAUGUGCAAUGAAAGUUUGCACCUUGAAAUUGCUUUCCUUCUUCCAUUUAAAUUCUUCCUUCUUUAAACACCUACAAAAGCACAACUAAAUCAAUAACAACCUAUCUUAAUCACAUUAACAUCAAAUUAAAUAUAAAAUUAACUAAGAUUAGAUUGACUCACCUAAAUUAAGAAACUUAAAAUAAUUUAAAUAAAACCUACUAAUUUUUAUGCAUUACCGCAAGAACUAAGCCAAAUUACUAUCAAAAUUAAGCCUGUUAUGUCUAUGAUAUAGAGUUCUUAGUUAGUUUGUUAUGUCUGGCUGCUAUGGAUAAUAUUUUGCUUAUGCCUUGUAUUUUAUAACAUGUAUUUUAAGAGUUGCCACGAGAUGACUACGCUUUGUAUUUGCCACGAGAUGGCCAUACUUGUUAUUUUGAAAUGUGGCAUUUUAAGCACGUGAGCGUGCAAACUUGAUGUGAUAUAUACAUAUCCUUUAUGCUAUAAUAUGUUCAUUCAUGUCUAAUGUCACGACCCAAAUUCCAAGCCAUGACAGGCGCAAGGGCCCAAUAGACGUAGUCCUUUAAGCCCAAGCAAGCCUAUCUAUUUAUCCUACUCAUCAUUCCAUCAAAUAUUGCUAAGUCACAAUUUAUAACUGUAAUUCAAAAUAGUGAUAGACAUUGUCAACUCGUAUUGGCAUUACUCAUUUAAAAUAUACAUACAUUGUCUACAGCAUGUAUUCUAAUAAUUUACAUUAGGUUCAUCUAUACACAACAAAAGAAUACUCGACUUCCAGUAGAGAGACUCGGAUGAAUGUACAGUUACUAAAUGCCGAGACACUUACCAAAAGAUGGAUACAAGUCUACAAGGACACCUCGUCCUAGUUACCGGUUACCUCUUGAUCUGAAAACAUGAAGUUGAAAAUGAUGAGUAUAAACCCAAUGAGUGAACAAGGAAGGGAACAAGCAACAACAAGGGAGAAUUUAAAAUCAUGACGCACUUGUUUCAAAAUAAUGCAAUUUAGUUCCAUUCAUAUUAAAAACCCCUCAUCAAGCCCUUAAAUGAUUAAUCAUUUGAAAAUCAAAAACCCAUACAUAAUGAACCAUUUGAAAAAUGAAAGCUUCAAUGAUACGCAAGCAAGUCAAUUAUGACAACGACGCUACAGCGAGAAUGCCUUUUCUCUGCAGCGACGUUGGGAUUAAGUUAUUAGCCGAACGAGGGUUUCUCAACUGGUCAAGGGUUUCCCACUAAAUCCCCUCAAUUUAAACUUAACUCAUUUAAUCUUUAAUGUUGGAAGUCCAUGCUCAGAUAUGGUAGCAAAGAAGUGAGAAAUAGGGCAGCAAAUGGACAAGAUAGGAGACAAAAACAGAAAGUUUUUCGUUGUAGCAAGAUUGAAUCUCGCUGCAACGAGAUUUUGGUCAUAAAACAGAAAGUUUCUCACUACAGCAAGAAUAAAGUUCACUGCAGUGAAAUUGUGACCCAGAAACAGAAAGUUUUUCGCUGCAGCGAGAAUGAAUUUCGCUACAGCGAGAAGCUACAGUGUCAUUCUCGCUGCAGCAAAAAUGCUUCCUCACUGCAACGAGUUUUCGACCAGUCUACUUCUCCAAAACCUAAGAGUUUCUCGCUGCAGCGAGAAUCAGAACAUCAAGAAAAAGGUCUCCUUUUCCCUUAAAAUAAAGCCAUCCUGCUAAAUAACAAAAGCAACAUAUAACACAUGCAAACUCCUAAAUUUCAACAAAUCAAAUGUUCACAUUUUCGCAUUUACAGCCAUAUACCAUAUAUGUGUAUAUAUAUAUAUAUAUAACAAUCAUCUUGUACACUCUCCCAUCAUCAUCAUCAUCUCAUAUGCAACGGCUUAUGCACACUCCCACUUGCACAUAGCCGGGUCAGCAACGGCUUAUGUGCACUCCUACUCGCACAUAGCCGGGUCCACAUCAACAUACAAAUAAGCACCCAAUGCAUAUCAUGCAUAUUAUCAUAUUUUGAUAACACAUAAUCCAUUGUAUGUCACAAUUUCACAAUAUAAAAUCACUUCACCAAAGGCUUGUUCCCAAGAUACAUUUUCAAAUACAAGUUGGAUAAAAUCAUUCAUAUUCCCCAAAACAAGUUUGAAAUGCAAGUCCACUCACCGGUAUAUUGUUGAGCCUUUCACUGACUCUAAUUUCCUCUAAUUGUCCAAAUGGGAUGAUGGGGCUUCCUUGGAACCUACCAUCACAUUAAUAUCACCAUUAUGUUAAUUCAUAUACUAUAAACCCUAAAAGUUAUCUCUUAACUAGCUUUCACUUGCCACUUCAAAUGGCUAUCUAUGUUCACUAUCUAAAUCACUAUAAAAUGAAUAAACAUCCUCAACAAUAAAACAGCUCAUAAUCUAAAUUUCUAGCCAUUAUCCACAACUAAAAACCAAGUUUAGUUUAUCACUCACCCUAGGGUUCCUUUGUAGUGGAAUUCUCUUCCAAAAGCUUCCAAACCAAUGGUGUAAUUCUCUCUUUCUCUCUCUAAAACGCCCAACUAGUGAGAGAAAGUAUGAAAAUAAGAUUUAUCAAGGGUUUUGAAGUGAGAGAAUGAAAGAAUAUAAGGGUUUUAGUCAAAAGGGCACAAAAGUAUGAAAUUUAGGGCUAGAGAGAGAAAAUCAUGCAAGCUAAAUAUCAAGCUUCCAUGGAGGUUUUAAAGAAACGUGAGAGGGAAGAAGAAGAUGAAGACAAAGCUACUGGAAAAUGGGAGAAGAAGCUGCUGGAAGAAGGAUAUUUAUAGGCCAAACUUAUCCAUUCCCUUAAAAUUACGAAAAUGUCCUUGACUAGUUAGCUUGUUCUCAUGCAACCCUUUGUGCAAUCUUUUCACUCUUUAACACUGGGACCAAGUCCAUAAUGGUCUAGACAUGUUCAGGUUUGCGAAACUUUUAAAAGUUUUGACUCGGGUGCAAAAU